GUUUUGCUGAUGGCUGACAGGACAUCUUCCAAGACUGAACACAGCAGUCAAGCAGCUCUUUUUUUACAGAAGACAUGGGAUACAUAAAUCAGUUAUUUUUAAAAAUCUUUUCACAUACUGCUUGAAAUUUGUACAUGACCUUUUGAGAUUCUUGAUUUUUACAUACAGGGGAAGUUGGUGUAACUUUCCAAAUGACAGAGUUUGAUCAUUUAUCUGUUCUGAAAUGGGGUUGAUUGGGAGUGUAUUUUUAAAUGUCAUGAGGAUAAAAGAGAAACAAAUAUGGGGGAAAAUUGUUCAGUGAAAAACAGUUCAAGUGAAAACAGGUGGCCUAUAAUUGAAGUACUGUAUAUGAAACAAAAUAAAUUAGAUACUGUUGAAAAAGGAUGGGACACCCACCCAUGGAAGAAAAACUAAUUCUGGUUACCAUAGUAAAUGAGCCCAUUCAUCUAAACAGCUUAUGAUUUAUAAGAACACCUUCAUAUUUACACCCAUCAUUCUCCUAAUUUCAUCAACAAACAAGGAAAAGGUACAGAUCUGUCUUUGUCAUUCCAAACGAUAAGGCAAGGCAGGUCAGAGUAGACUCAGGGAUGUGGACAGAGCUGUAGAUUUUCUAGUCAUGAUUCUGUGUUGUCCUUACAUCUCGAGCGAGGAGGAGCGGUUGCAAUUUAGUUUUCGCUUAAGUUUAACUUGUCCCAUAUGCUCAUCUAAUUUCCAUCAAGACAAAACAUUUCCCCCCUUUGUCACCUGUCAAGGGUACACAGCAUUUGUGUUAUCUGUAAUUUUGAGAAAGCAUUUGCAUGUAACAUUUAGGAAACACCUCUAUCCAGUGCCAUUUAGAGCCUUGUAAAGUAUGAGGAUGUAUGGGCUUACUGGGAUUUAAAGCCAUGGCCUUAGCGCUGUUGUCCUCUAGCACAUCUGAGCCAUAGAGACAUAAGUAAUCAAACUCCAAAAAUUCAUCCUAAAGUUCUAGAACCAAUUUAAGCAAAUUGGUGACUAUGGUGACCAGGCUGUUUUCUCCAGCAAUGUCUUAGACCUCAGAACUUGGUGCUUAAUCAACCUUUUUUAUUUUUUAUUUAGUAGGGUCUUGCAGUAGAUCUUGCAAGUCAGAGCCAGCAUCCUAUAGGGAUCGAUCCAUAGAAAUACAUUUGUACACCUUUUUAACAUGUGUUGAUAGUGUUCUGAUUAUGAUUAGUUUGUAGCAUACAUGUUCUGCUGAUUCUUUGCAAUUUGAUUUUAUAUGACAUAUUUCAUACUUGUUUUGGAUAAGAACUAAUGCACAAUACCAUUAGUUUUAAUUUAAAAGUAUUAAGAGGAAACAUUGUUUUUUUGGGAUACAGUUCAGAUCAGUACAUGUAGGUAAUUGGCAGCUUUAUUAAAUACCUAAAGAUGAACCAGUCUGAAGGGAACAUAGAGUAGGCUUGCAGCGAAGUAGAAUAUUUUUUGGAGUGUUAAACAUAAGGUUAAAUUCAGAGGACUGACAACCAACAUUGUACACAUUUGUAUAUAUAUCACAUGACAAAUUAAAAUGAUUACCCUACAAACGGUGUUUGCAUGUUUUAAUACAUUUUGUGUGUAUUACUGAAUUCCAAUGAGCCAACACAAAUUUGGGUGUAUUAAUUAAUUACAAUGUAGGAAAAUACCUUGUUUAGACAAACUAUUUUGCCCUGUUUCCAGUAAAAAUAACAUGCAAAACUAUUUUAACACUUUGAAGUUUUUUAAGGAACAUAAGCAUGCACACAC
Clupea harengus (Atlantic herring) is the source of this 1740-nucleotide long non-coding RNA. The record is from Ensembl. Lineage: Eukaryota; Metazoa; Chordata; Actinopteri; Clupeiformes; Clupeidae.